RNAcentral lists this ribosomal RNA (404 nucleotides) under uncultured bacterium. RNAcentral describes it as "partial 16S ribosomal RNA". It matches the Rfam family "Bacterial small subunit ribosomal RNA", at positions 28 to 526 of the family's 1533-position model. The record is from RNAcentral.
GACGAACGCUGGCGGCGUGCUUAACACAUGCAAGUCGAGCGGAGCGGCGAACGGGUGAGUAACGCGUGAGUAACUGCCCCCCUCUCAGGGAUAACAGUUGGAAACGGCUGCUAAUACCGGCUAGUGGGGGAUGACUCGCGUCCUAUCAGCUUGUUGGUGGGGUAGUGGCCUACCAAGGCGACGACGGGUAGCCGGCCUGGGAGGGCGACCGGCCACAUUGGCCUGGGAUACGGCCCAAGCUCCUACGGGAGGCAGCAGUGGAGAAUAUUGCACAAUGGGGGAAACCCUGAUGCAGCAACGCGCGUGAAGGAAGACGGUCUUCGGAUUGAAAACUUCUUUAGACAGUGACGCGGUACCUGUAGAAAAAGCCACGGCUAACUACGUGCCAGCAGCCGCGGUAAUUC